Non-coding RNA from Macaca mulatta (Rhesus monkey), 1056 nucleotides. Lineage: Eukaryota; Metazoa; Chordata; Mammalia; Primates; Cercopithecidae. The record is from RefSeq and is a predicted model, not a curated record.
GGCCGGGAUAACAUGUGACUUUUUUCCCCCUUCCAUCUCCUUACCUUCUGCUCUCUGCCUUCCUCCUUUGGAGCAUGCUGUAAUAGAAGUUUUACUAGGCUCAUCAUCCAUUUAUAGAACCACUGCUCCCCAUCUUUCACUUAGUUUGUGCAUCACUGACUUUACCCAAUGGCUUCCAGGCCCUGCAAAGCCAGGCAUGACCAAUGAGACACUCCAUUUUCCUGGUUGCAGUUGUUAAAAAUACAAUGGCAAGUUUUACAGGAGCCACUGUCAAAGAGGGACUCUCUAAGUGGGGAGGGGUGGCUGCUAAACUGGGAAGAGCCUGCCUGUGAAAAAAUUGCUAACGAUGAAGAGACCAGACCUGAGAGGUUAAGUGGCUUGCCCUGGGUCACCCAGCUAGUAAGUGGAGUGGUCAGAGUCGAAGCAAGCGGUGUGUUCCUCAUCACUAACCUGUUUUCAGCUGGAGCACUACUAGUUCUUCGUGGGCUCAACGUGCAUCCUUUAUAUUGUUGAAUUACCCUCCCAACAGCCCUAUUAGAUGUCAAUACAUGGGAUGCUUUGGGAAUGAACAAGAGAAGUGUCCUACUGGCAGGAAGAAAUAAAUGACUCAUAGUGAAGAAGGAGGAGGGGCAAAAACCCUUUUAAGCCACAAAGAUACCAUUUUGUGCACCGGAGGAGGUCACUGAAUAAAUCACAGGAGAGAAAUAGAUCUUGGGAGGUCACAUGGAUAAUAGUCCUGCCUUUGGGGAGGACACCCUGCUGCCAGAAAAAUGAUUCAAGAGAAUUCUUGCUGCAGCAAGGGGAUUGGGUUACUCAUGUUAAACAGUGCCCGAGAGCAUAUGCUUUAUGAAGUUGACCAGAUGUCCUGUUUGGUUAGGACUCUCCAGGUUUCUUAAUGGCUUUGAAGAGUGUCCUGGGAGUCACCCGGAGCAACCAGGCUUGGUUCUAGGUCCCCCAUUGACACUUUGUAAAGGGCUUUGGGUUACUUUGUGUGUUACCACUUUGCAAUUGUUCAGGUCACCAAAUAAAUCAGAGGAUUUGCUAGCCUGGCAAUAG